Molecule: ribosomal RNA, 482 nt
Filed under: uncultured bacterium
Lineage: Bacteria
Description: partial 16S ribosomal RNA
Rfam family: Bacterial small subunit ribosomal RNA
Source: RNAcentral
AUUGAACGCUGGCGGCAUGCCUUACACAUGCAAGUCGAACGGUAACGGGCCUUCGGGUGCCGACGAGUGGCGAACGGGUGAGUAAUACAACGGAACGUGCCCGAUCGUGGGGGAUAACGAGGCGAAAGCUUUGCUAAUACCGCAUACGAUCUACGGAUGAAAGCAGGGGACCGCAAGGGCUUGCGCGGACGGUGCGGCCGCUGGCAGAUUAGGUAGUUGGUGGGAUAAAAGCUUACCAAGCCGACGAUCUGUAGCUGGUCUGAGAGGAUGAUCAGCCACACUGGGACUGAGACACGGCCCAGACUCCUACGGGAGGCAGCAGUGGGGAAUUUUGGACAAUGGGCGCAAGCCUGAUCCAGCCAUGCCGCGUGCAGGAUGAAGGCCUUCGGGUUGUAAACUGCUUUUGUACGGAACGAAAAGCCUUCUUUUAAUACAGGAGGGUCAUGACGGUACCGUAAGAAUAAGCACCGGCUAACUACGUG